RNAcentral lists this ribosomal RNA (421 nucleotides) under Labena sp. RNAcentral describes it as "eukaryotic LSU rRNA". Lineage: Eukaryota; Metazoa; Arthropoda; Insecta; Hymenoptera; Ichneumonidae. The record is from RNAcentral.
CCUGUGAAACCCAAAAGAUCGAAUGGGGAGAUCAUCGUCAGCGAUCCUGGUGUUUGUACGGCUCGCGAUGUCGGGGAUCUCGGUCCCGCGGCACGCGUCCGUAUGUUCCUCAAACCAGGUGUCGUCGGCGUGCACUUCUCCCCUAGUAGGACGUCGCGACCCGUUGGGUGUCGGUCUACGGCCCGGGUGGGAGCCUGGACUGAGUGCGCUUCGCGCCGCUACUCGGUCCAGACCCCCGGUUGCCCGACCGGCUGCCCGGCGGUACUCGCACGGUAUCGAGCCGCAAAUAUUCGAACUGCGUCCGGCCCGGCGCAAGCGAGACCACUGUUACCCGGACGCACGGAUCCAAUGCCGUCGCCGGGCUUGGUCGGCUGCUGGCCGCCGGUGCCCUUGGACUGGCUCAACCAUUAUGAUACCGGUC